Molecule: ribosomal RNA, 265 nt
Filed under: uncultured archaeon
Lineage: Archaea
Description: partial 16S ribosomal RNA
Rfam family: Archaeal small subunit ribosomal RNA
Source: RNAcentral
AGUCACUGACAUUAGAUACCCCUGUAGUCCAGGGUGUAAACGCUGCAGACUUGGUGUUGGAAGUCCUUUGGGGGCAUUCAGUGCCGUAGAGAAGUUAUUAAGUCUGCUACUUGGGGAGUACGUCCGCAAGGAUGAAACUUAAAGGAAUUGGCGGGGGAGCACCGCAACGGGAGGAGCGUGCGGUUUAAUUGGAUUCAACACCGUAAAACUCACCAGGGAAGACUGUUACAUGAAAGCCGAGAUGAAGACUCUGCUAGAUUUUCAG